This 494-nucleotide ribosomal RNA is filed under the name uncultured bacterium. RNAcentral describes it as "partial 16S ribosomal RNA". It matches the Rfam family "Bacterial small subunit ribosomal RNA", at positions 28 to 507 of the family's 1533-position model. The record is from RNAcentral.
GACGAACGCUGGCGGCGUGCUUAACACAUGCAAGUCGAACGGUGAAGCGCCUUCCUUUUUGGUGGGUGUGGAUGAGUGGCGAACGGGUGAGUAACACGUGAGUAACCUGCCCCCUUCUUCUGGAUAACCGCAUGAAAGUGUGGCUAAUACGGGAUAUUCUGGGUCUGUCGCAUGAUGGGUCUGGGAAAGAUAUUGUUUCGGUGGGGGAUGGGCUCGCGGCCUAUCAGCUUGUUGGUGGGGUGAUGGCCUACCAAGGCGGUGACGGGUAGCCGGCCUGAGAGGGUGGACGGUCACACUGGGACUGAGACACGGCCCAGACUCCUACGGGAGGCAGCAGUGGGGAAUAUUGCACAGUGGGCGCAAGCCUGAUGCAGCGACGCCGCGUGAGGGAUGGAGGCCUUCGGGUUGUGAACCUCUUUCGCCAGUGAAGCAGGCCUGCCUCGUUUGUGGGUGGGUUGACGGUAGCUGGAUAAGAAGCGCCGGCUAACUACGUG